RNAcentral lists this long non-coding RNA (2335 nucleotides) under Marmota monax (woodchuck). Lineage: Eukaryota; Metazoa; Chordata; Mammalia; Rodentia; Sciuridae. The record is from RNAcentral.
GUGGAGAUCAGUUGUGUAGCAGAUAUCAAUGGGUGUCUUCCUGUUCAAUUCUUUCACUGUCUACCUAGAGGUAGCUUCAGAUCCCACUGGUUAAAUGAUUACCCCUCCCACACUUGAGAUGCCAGUUGCAAGCCCCAGUUUCAUUUACUUCUGCUUCUGACCAGUUGGCAACAAAUCAGGAUUCCUACAACCUUCUUGGGUUCAAUUAAUUUGGUUGUAUAGCACAAAAAAACUCAGGGAAAUAUUUACUUAUGUUUAUUGAUUUAUUAUGAGGGAUAUUACAAAGGACACAGCUAAAGAAAUGCAUGGAGUUAUGGAGGAAGGGGCUGUGGAGCUUCCAUGAACUCUCCAGAUGUGCUGCUGUUCAGAAACUUGCAUGUGUUUGGCUAUCCAGGGACUCUCUGAACUCUGUCCUGGGUUUUCAUUGCAGAGACAUCAUUGCGUAGUUGUGAUUUAAGCGUGGACAACCAUUUUGAAAUGUGAUAGGACAAAGGAGAUGUGAUCUAAUAUUAAUAGAGUGGGGAAACCCAACAAGGCUUUGCUGUUUAGGUUCUUCUUGACCUUUGUGCAGCAUUCCUUCCUCCCAGGUAGGGGCAGGAUUCCCUCUAAAAUAGGGGUCUUACUAUCUACUAUUAGAUAAGAUAGGUCAGAGAAUUUCUUUAUGGCCAGUUCCAAGACAGGAAGAAUUAGAGUUAAGUUUCUAUGACCCACCUUAGGAAAGAGGAAUACUAGCUUCUAUGGUAUGCCUUGGGGAGGGAAACAUGAGCUAGGAACCAUAGAUGAAAACCAAAUAUAUAUAUAUAUAACAUAAUGUCGAUAAUUUCAAAAUCUAUUAUCCUAAUCUAUCUAUUAUCCUAAUAACACCUCUAUACUUUUAACUUGAAUAAUCAAUGUAUGGACUAUUCUGUAAUACAAAUUUGAAUCCUAGAACAUCUUUCUGCAGUUAUAUCUACCUCAUUUGUUUAAUCAAUGUGUACCUAGAGAAUACAUGAGAUUUUAAAUAUUAUCCUAGGAUUAACCUAAUUAGAAAUGUUUUGUGGAAAAGCCAUGAGGAAUAUUUCUAUUGCAAACAGAAGCUAUUGUAUUUUAAAAGUAUUUACAGCACAGUAGUGGUAUUUGCUGCAUUUGUCAGAUGUGAUAACCUCUAUUAGACUCCAGAAUUUUUAUAAUACUUUCAUGAAGCCAAUCAGUGAUUAAAUAUUGAUGAAUCUUUUUUUCUUUUAUGAAAGUGUUUUCAAAUACUGAGAAGCAUGUUCUGCUGUUUCAUGAUUAUGUCAUGUGCUGGAUGGUGUGGUUCAGAAAAAUAUAUAUAUUUUCAAAGUAAAAGCAAAAUACAAUCACUGAGCAAUUCUCUUGAGGAUCAGAAGGUCCUCAAGAACUUCUAGAGAGUUGAUGGGGAUUUGUAUGCUAACAGAAGAAUGAACAAACUGUCCUAGUUAGUUCCAUACACCACGAUCUUGUAGGUAGAGUCCUGUCUCGGAUUCUUCUGUGGGCUUUCCUCCAGACCUUAUGACACUUCGUUUCAUAACUUUUUUCCCCCACACUUCAUUUUGUGCUUGAGUCUCAUUUUCACUGCCCUUUUAAUUUGUGAGCCUGGUUGCCAUCUUCACUUUUUAACAGUAGAUCUUUACUGAGACCUAUUAAUGAGCCCUUAGCAAAAACAGAUUCCUCUUUUCUGUUAGGGAAUGGAGAUCUAAGAUUUCAGAUACUCUCAUCCAAGUAUAUAAAAGUUUGGGUGCUCUGAAAGUAAACUUUACAUAGACAAUUCAGAACAAGGCUUGUUUAAACAGAGACUAGAAAGAUGAGAAAAAAAAUCACCAUAUUAGAGUGUGAGAUGCGGGAAGGGAUUUGUCUAGUAGUCUGAUAAAGAGUAUAUUUGUAGAAAGCAACUGGCCCAUAUAGUAUUUAUAAAAUGAUGACAACACAGCACUGGCAAGUGGUAGUCCCUUGUAGAUAUUAACUGAAUUUUUUAAUGUUUAUUUUAUUAUGAUAGGGACAUUGAACAUAAGAUCAACACUUUUUCUAAAUUCUUAAGAGUACAGUACACUAGUGUUGUCCACAGGUACAAUGUUGUACAGUAGAUCUCUAGAGUUUAUUCAUCUUGUUUGAAAUGUUAUGCCUGUUGAUAAGUAGAUCUUCAUUUCCUCUUCCUCUCAACCCAUAGUGACCACCAUUCUUUUUUAAUUCUAUGAAUUUGACUAUUUUUAAUACCUCAUUUAAGUAGAAUCAUGUGGUAUCUUUCUGUAGCUGACAUUUCAUUUUAUUCCAUGUCCUCAAGGUUCAUCCAUAUUGUCACAUAUUGUGGAAUUUCCUUCUUGUUAAAGGCUGAAUAGUG